AUGUCCUUAGUCCUUACUGUAGGUCGUCAAUUUCCUGACAAGGCAAUUGACCUGAUUGAUGAGGCUUGUGCCACGGCAACCAAAACGAUGAUGCCAGUUGGCGACCAAGAAGAGAAUGUGAACACUGUGCAGAGUACCUCUAAAAAUGCAGCCAAGGAGGCAAUUGUUUCCCCAAAUCAUGUUGCGCAAGUUGUGAGCCAAUGGACUGGAAUUCCUGUCGCUGCGCUUGACCAAGAGGAGAAGCAUAGACUAAUCCACCUACCAAGCAGACUACGCGAGCGAGUUGUUGGCCAGGAUGAAGCCGUAAAUCUGGUUGCGCAAGCAGUGUUACGUUCCAGGGCCGGCUUUGGUCAGCCUGGCCAACCCAUAGGCUCUUUCCUCUUCUUAGGCUCGACUGGUGUUGGAAAGACAGAGCUUGCAAAAGCUCUAGCGGAGCAGCUAUUUGACAGCGAGAAGAUGCUGGUUCGCUUUGACAUGUCUGAAUUUGUUGACAGGGGAUCUGUGCUGCGUCUCAUCGGAGCCCCUCCAAGCUACAAUGGCCAUGAAGACGGUGGACAGCUGACGGAGAAAAUCAGGAGACGCCCAUACAGUGUUAUCCUAUUUGAUGAGGUGGAGAAGGCAGAUCCGUCGGUGUUGAACCUUUUCGUGCAACUUCUGGAUGAUGGUGUGUUGACGGAUGGGAAAGGCCGGACCGUGGAUUUCAAGAAUACCAUCAUCAUCAUGACCUCAAAUCUAGGAGCGGAGCAUCUAACAGCUGGAAUGGCUGGAAACGGCACGAUGGAAGCUGCACGGGACCUUGUGAUGCAUCAGGUGCAGAAACACUUCAAACCUGAGCUUUGCAACAGGAUGAGUGAGAUUGUGAUAUUUGAGCCGCUUUCGCGCGACAAACUGAAGGAGAUUGUGAAAAUCCAGAUGAAGAGGAUUGUCGCCAGAGUCGCUAGCAAGGGCAUUUGUCUGUCUGUGAGCGAUGCCGCGUUGGAGGUGGUUUUGUCGGAAUCGUACAACCCGGUAAGGACAGCUUGUUUCGUUUCAGGCCCGAGGGCUCAUGUUUUUCUUUUCUUUUGUCUGCAUGUUUUGGUGGUAAACUAUCGUCAUCCAUUGUUAAUUUGGUUGACAGAUGUAUGGUGCGAGGCCUGUAAAGAGGUGGUUGCUGAAGAACGUGAUGACUGA
This 1170-nucleotide ribosomal RNA is filed under the name Triticum aestivum (bread wheat). RNAcentral's name for it is "partial small subunit ribosomal RNA". Lineage: Eukaryota; Viridiplantae; Streptophyta; Magnoliopsida; Poales; Poaceae. The record is from RNAcentral.